GAUGAACGCUGGCGGCGUGCCUAAUACAUGCAAGUCGAGCGAACGGACGAUAAGCUUGCUUCUCUGAUGUUAGCGGCGGGCGGGUGAGUAACACGUGGAUAACCUACUUAUAAGUCGGGGAUAACUUUGGAAAACCGGCGCUAAUACCGGAGAAUAUUUUGAACCGCAUGGUUCAAAAGUGAGAGACGGUCUUGCUGUCACUUAUAGAUGGAUCCGCGCUGCAUUAGCUAGUUGGUAAGGUAGCGGCUUACCAAGGCAACGAUGCAUAGCCGACCUGAGAGAGUGAUCGGCGACACUGGAACGGAGCCACGGACCAGACGACUACGGGAGGCAGCAGUAGGGAACGUGCCGCAGCGGGCGAAAGCAUGACGGAGCGACGCCGCGUGAGUGAUGGCGGUCUUGCGAUCGUAAUACUGUGUUAUUAGGGAAGAACAUAUGUGGAAGUAACUGUGCACAGCUUGACGGUACCUAAUCAGAAAGCAACGGCUAACUACGUG
This 497-nucleotide ribosomal RNA is filed under the name uncultured bacterium. Its description in RNAcentral is "partial 16S ribosomal RNA". It matches the Rfam family "Bacterial small subunit ribosomal RNA", at positions 28 to 507 of the family's 1533-position model. The record is from RNAcentral.